ACAAUGUAGGCAAGGGAAGU
RNAcentral lists this small nuclear RNA (20 nucleotides) under Arabidopsis thaliana (thale cress). Its description in RNAcentral is "snRNA_13343". Lineage: Eukaryota; Viridiplantae; Streptophyta; Magnoliopsida; Brassicales; Brassicaceae. The record is from RNAcentral.